This 253-nucleotide ribosomal RNA is filed under the name uncultured bacterium. RNAcentral describes it as "partial 16S ribosomal RNA". It matches the Rfam family "Bacterial small subunit ribosomal RNA", at positions 524 to 776 of the family's 1533-position model. The record is from RNAcentral.
UACGUAGGUGGCAAGCGUUGUCCGGAUUUACUGGGCGUAAAGAGCGCGCAGGCGGUCGUUCAAGUCGCGUGUGAAAGCCCCCGGCUCAACUGGGGAGGGUCACGCGAUACUGAUCGACUCGAAGGCAGGAGAGGGUAGUGGAAUUCCCGGUGUAGUGGUGAAAUGCGUAGAUAUCGGGAGGAACACCAGUGGCGAAGGCAGCUUGCUGGGCCUUUUCUGACGCUGAGGUACGAAAGCGUGGGGAGCGAACAGG